GCACCACAACGGGUGGAGCCUGCGGGUUUAAUUGGAUUCAACGCCGGGAAGCUUACCGGGAUCGACAGUUGUAUGAAGGCCAGGCUGAAGACCUUGCCGGACUAGCUGAGAGGAGGUGCAUGGCCGUCGUCAGUUCGUACCGUGAGGCGUCCUGUUAAGUCCGGCAACGAGCGAGACCCAUUUCCACUGUUGCUAACACGACCGCGAGGUUGGUGAGUACACUGUGGAGACCGCUGGCGCUAAGUCAGAGGAAGGAUUGGUCGACGGUAGGUCAGUAUGCCCCGGAUCCCUUGGGCCACACGCGAGCUGCAAUGGAUGGGACAAUGAGUUCCGACCCCGAAAGGGGAAGGCAAUCUUCAAACCCAUCCUCAGUUGGGAUCGAGGGCUGCAACCCGCCCUCGUGAACAUGGAAUCCCUAGUAACCGCGUGUCAUCAUCGCGCGGUGAAUACGUCCCUGCUCCUUGCACACACCGCCCGUCGCUCCAUCCGAGUUUGGCUUUGGCGAGGCGUGGCCAUGUUGGUCAUGUCGAACCUAGGUUAGGCAAGGAGGGAG
This 553-nucleotide ribosomal RNA is filed under the name uncultured archaeon OS-30. Its description in RNAcentral is "bacterial SSU rRNA". It matches the Rfam family "Archaeal small subunit ribosomal RNA", at positions 876 to 1429 of the family's 1478-position model. The record is from RNAcentral.